This is a non-coding RNA of Dermacentor albipictus, 1564 nucleotides long. The record is from RefSeq and is a predicted model, not a curated record. NCBI's taxonomy places the organism in Eukaryota, Metazoa, Arthropoda, Arachnida, Ixodida, Ixodidae.
GCAUAACGCGGAACCAACAGUUGGCAACAUUCAUUCGCGCGUCAUUGCUUCGUUCGCUUCGUCUUCGCAACGAGAGCCGCCAUCUUCUCGCGCCUAACGUUUUGUAUGGCUUUGUUCUCUGCAAUCCGCGCACGCAGCUCAUCGGUGGAUGCACGUCUGCUCGGCGUCGCAAUGCGGCCUGCGUCAUUUUUUGGUGUUCGCGCAAUCGGUGUGAAGCAUGUCGCAUGUGAAAUGUUUGGUAGAAGUGCCUCACGUCCAAGUCAAGCCGCCGUACGGGUGUAUGGCUGUGCGCCCUGUUCUCGGAAGCGUCAACGGCUUUCCGGCAUGCGGAUUUCAGCGUUUGGACUCGACUUUUGGUGAGGCUGUCGAUCGACCUUGGGCCUGGUGACAGCACACCCGACAUCGCCAAAGUGCAGCCUAUCAGUUGAGUGCCCCCGAAUGGACCAUCAACAUCGGAAACUGAAGCAGAGCCAGGGGGAAAAAGCUCCGGUAACACCAUGCAUUCAGUAUGGUGGCCCAGACGUGUAUGCAAGCAACCUCCUUCAUGUGGACCAAGAACUACUCUGCAGUGUCUCACAGACUUCCAUGCGAAGCCCUCAACAUUCUCGUCUCAGUGGAAUGGCUGCCCAUCUAUCUGCGUGUCCAUCACCAAGACAGCUAGUUGUAAAGCUCCUGUACCCGUUUAAGAAAGCUUAAUGAUUUUUUUUAUUUAGUUUUCACGGUUGGCCGUAGAAUCUUAACAUUUUUGAUGUUUCUAACGUUUUUACCUGGCACAAAGUGGCGCAAUAACUUUAAACCAGUGUAAUGUAUUUAAGUGAUGCUCACUCUAAUGCCUAUCUGGUUUUGUUUGUGUUUAAGAAAUUUGAAUGUCUGAUGAGGUAACAGCAUUUAAAUUUGUCAUCGUGGCUUGGUUCAAUGAGCUGCUAGGAAAUAAGAUGCAAAACUUAUCACAUGCCAGUUGUAGCAUUUUUGUAUUCAUGACUAAAGUAUACACAUUUCAAAAGAUGGAAAGUGGGGAAAAAAAGCCUCAAGAACAUAAUCAUCCUAGGAUUGUCAUGUCCUUACAACUCUGCAAUGACUAAUGCCUCAUGCAUCUUGGGAGCACAAUGGUCGCAAUGCCUACAGGUAUACUUGAUAAGAGACUAGCUUGCAAAAAUUUAGUUGAGAGUUAGCGCUCAUCCUGUCUGCUUCUAGUCUGUGUCCAUGCCACUUCGCGCUACAAUCCAAGAUCAUGUUACUGUACCAACUCGCCCAACUUUUUAUCCUUGUGUUAAAGACACACUCAGACUUGUUCUUACUUAUGUGACCUGUUAUUUUUGUGCUUUAUAAUAAGAUGCAGUGCUUUUCGAAUGAAAACGUGAUAUUUAGUAGUGAGGUUAUUUAAAAAACUGUUCUGCUUAAAAUUUAAUUGAGCAAGCCUGUGCCAUUAUUCGGUGCUUAUGUCUUUGUAUUGGUAUGGUUUUACUCAUCUUCCUUUUUACUUUUAAAAUGUGCAAACAUUAUUAUGUAACCAUUUCUCUUGAAUGAAAUAAAUACUUCUGACAUUUCGUCACAAAUUUUACAA